UUUUGAGUAAAAUCUGCUCCCUGUAUAAUAAAGAGCCGCAGGACUUUUACUGUGCUAAGGUAGCAUAAUCACUUGUUUCUUAAUUAGAGACUAGAAUGAAAGAUUUAACAUUUUAAUUACUUUUUUGUUAAAUUUAAUUAAAAUUAUACUAAAUAUAAAAUAUAUUUAUACUUUAAAUAGACGACAAGACCCUAUUGAACUUAACUUAUGUUUAGCUGGGGCAGCUAAUUAAAUUUUAUUUUAAUUUAAAAACUUUUACAAAUUGACCUAAUAUAAUUAAUUAUUUAAUCAAGUUACCAUAGGGAUAACAGCGUAAUCAUUUUCUAAGCUCUUAUUUAAAAAAAAGUUUACGACCUCGAUGUUGAAUUAUUUAUCUACAUUACGCAAUAGUUUUGCAAGAAGGUCUGUUCGACCUUUAAAAUUUUACA
This 428-nucleotide ribosomal RNA is filed under the name Mimetus sp. GH1091. RNAcentral's name for it is "partial 16S ribosomal RNA". It matches the Rfam family "Bacterial large subunit ribosomal RNA", at positions 1846 to 2600 of the family's 2925-position model. The record is from RNAcentral. Lineage: Eukaryota; Metazoa; Arthropoda; Arachnida; Araneae; Mimetidae.